Molecule: ribosomal RNA, 497 nt
Filed under: uncultured bacterium
Lineage: Bacteria
Description: partial 16S ribosomal RNA
Rfam family: Bacterial small subunit ribosomal RNA
Source: RNAcentral
GACGAACGCUGGCGGCGUGCCUAAUACAUGCAAGUUGAGCGAUGAAGAUUGGUGCUUGCACCAAUUUGAAGAGCAGCGAACGGGUGAGUAACGCGUGGGGAAUCUGCCUUUGAGCGGGGGACAACAUUUGGAAACGAAUGCUAAUACCGCAUAACAACUUUAAACAUAAGUUUUAAGUUUGAAAGAUGCAAUUGCAUCCCUCAAAGAUGAUCCCGCGUUGUAUUAGCUAGUUGGUGAGGUAAAGGCUCACCAAGGCGAUGAUACAUAGCCGACCUGAGAGGGUGAUCGGCCACAUUGGGACUGAGACACGGCCCAAACUCCUACGGGAGGCAGCAGUAGGGAAUCUUCGGCAAUGGACGAAAGUCUGACCGAGCAACGCCGCGUGAGUGAAGAAGGUUUUCGGAUCGUAAAACUCUGUUGGUAGAGAAGAACGUUGGUGAGAGUGGAAAGCUCAUCAAGUGACGGUAACUACCCAGAAAGGGACGGCUAACUACGUG